Long non-coding RNA from Neopsephotus bourkii (Bourke's parrot), 616 nucleotides. RefSeq lists it as uncharacterized. NCBI's taxonomy places the organism in Eukaryota, Metazoa, Chordata, Aves, Psittaciformes, Psittacidae. The transcript is spliced from 3 exons. The record is from RefSeq and is a predicted model, not a curated record.
CACAGCCAUCUUUCAUUUCAGCUCUGCAGGAUUGAAAUCAAUGGAAUUAGGUGAUACCAAUGGGAUGCAAAAGGCUUUCUGCAAGCAGAGUGGGCUGUGCUUUACGUGCUAGCCCACCUCUGGCCAAGGACAGGCUUUGUGGUGUGUGGAUGCCAUGAUAAAGACAUUGCAAACGCUUUUCUUACUGUUCUAGGAGCUCCAGUUGCUACUCUUGGUGCAAACACAGAGAAAACCCUACCCAAGCCUGAAGCUGGGGAGAAAAGAAUGGUUCCUAAUAAUCUUCAUCUUUACUUGGCACGUUUGGUUUGAAGAAGAUGGAGGUGAAGGAUUGAUCUAGAGGCCACAUGGAAAAGCAAGAGAAGUGUGUAAGUGGCUGUGCAGUUAGUGGGGGAGCCAGUGCUUUUGACACUGGUGCCUCACCACUGGCCCUUUCUAGGGCUUUCUUGCUGUCCUGGAAAGGGUUGGAAACCAGCUCUGGAAAAGGCUGCAGUAGUUUUCAGUGAAGAGUUCUGCUGUGCCCUGAAUUAUUUAUAAGCAUCAGGAUGUAAGGACAUCAUGUUCACCCUCCAGCACUGAGAAAGGCUGCAAAUAAUCUAAUAUAUUACUCAUGCAAAAA